AAAUGACAAAAAAAAUAAAAACAUUUUUGAUUAAUCUUUGAUCUACACAAUGAUGAUGAGUCGCUUUGGAGCUAAGGUAAUGGUAACUGCUGGACCAAGGCUCUUCUCUUCCAGUACCGUGUCUCCCAACCAUCUUUUAAAUUCUAGGGUUCCGGCGAGAGAGUUCAGCAAGAUGACAUUUGAGAAGAAGAAGACGGAGGAUAACCAAUCGGAGAAAGGUUCAAGUGGUGGCAAGGGUGAUCAAGGGAACAAAGGGGAGCAAUUAAUCGUUAGCUAUUGGGGAGUGAAGCCUAUGAAGAUCACCAAAGAUGAUGGAACUGAAUGGAAAUGGAGCUGCUUUCGGCCAUGGGAGACGUAUAAAGCAGAUCUGACAAUACAAAAAAAUAUUUAUUCAUUUCAGUUUAUUCCUACUUCAUUUACCAUUUGGAGCCUUUGUACGUUUGUUUAGACUAAUAAUCUUUAUCAAACGAUUCAAUGCAGAGGCGGUACGGAUGCCGAGCGAUGAUGUUGGAAACGGUAGCAGCGGUUCCAGGAAUGGUCAGAGGAAUGUUAGUACACUGCAAAUCGCUGAGGCGGUUUGAACAAAGCGGCGGUUGGAUCAAAGCACUCCUUGAAGAAGCAGAGAACGAGAGAAUGCACUUGAUGACAUUCAUGGAAGUCGCAAAACCCAAUUGGUACGAACGUGCCCUCGUGAUCGCCGUUCAAGGCGUUUUCUUCAACGCAUAUUUCCUCGGAUACAUAAUCUCGCCCAAGUUUGCUCACCGUAUGGUUGGAUACCUUGAGGAAGAAGCAAUCCACUCUUACACUGAAUUCCUCAAGGAACUUGAUAAUGGUAACAUCGAAAACGUUCCUGCACCAGCCAUAGCCAUUGAUUACUGGAGGCUCCCUGCUGAUGCAACGCUUCGUGAUGUUGUUAUGGUGGUUCGUGCUGAUGAAGCACAUCACCGUGACGUUAACCAUUAUGCAUCCGAUAUUCAUUACCAAGGUCGUGAACUUAAGGAAGCUCCAGCUCCAAUUGGAUAUCAUUGAAUUUAUUUUUAUCUCAUUGAAUAAGAAAAGAGUUUUGUCUUUUUUUUUUGUUCUUCAACGCUUUUGAGCUUCGUAUUUUUACUAUAUAUAAAUAUUCAGUCUCCAAUUUAGUUUAUUCGUUUCUGACAUCUAUUCUAUUAUUUGCGAAGAAUUUUUUUGGAAUCGAGUUCUCACGUUAAAAGUUAGAGUGGUUAAUAACGUUUAUACUUUUAAUGAUUAAUAAGGGAUUACAAGUGAUUUUAAAUUACUUUGUACAAACCCUGUAUUGAAUAACUUCUGAUUUGGAAAAUAAUUUAAAUAAUUGAUUGAAUAACAAAUUAACACAAUAAAAAAAUAACAAAUUAACAAGAGAAUUUAACAAAAUCCCUUAAAACUCAUUCAAUACACCUACCUGCUUCUCUUUAUUUGAGACUGGGCCUAGACCCAUUUGUGAAAACUGAAACCUUCCCGUUUGGGCCUUUUAAUAUAAAGAUUGACCGACCAUAAAAAUUCUACUUUUCUCUAUAUAUGUAUUAUUCUGGUCAGAUAGAAUAAAUAAAAGUCUGCGUUGAUAUCGAGAAAUCGAGAGGCUAGGGUUUGUGAUUCCAAGAGCAAAAGAUGAUCGAGGUGGUGCUGAACGACCGUCUGGGGAAGAAAGUAAGGGUCAAGUGCAACGAAGAUGACACGAUCGGCGAUCUGAAGAAGCUCGUGGCGGCGCAGACCGGAACGCGAGCGGAGAAGAUUCGAAUCCAGAAGUGGUACAACAUCUACAAGGAUCAUAUCACUCUCAAGGACUACGAGAUCCACGACGGCAUGGGCCUCGAGCUCUACUACAAUUAAGGCGAACCGGAGGUGCUGAGCAAAGGAGAGCAAGUGAAUGUUGUUGAUUUGCACACCCCGAUUAAAUAAAAAAAACAAAAGUAUGUCUGUAAAAUUGGCUAAUUGGUUUUCUGAUUAUGUAUUAUGCUUUCGUAAACUAAAAUCAAAUGUGUGGUAAUAAGCUACUCUUUCAACUUUUGUCUACGGUACUUUAAGAAGUCUCUUGGUGUUGUUCUCAA
Brassica napus (rape) is the source of this 2066-nucleotide RNA transcript. It is a transcript of the gene named ubiquinol oxidase 1b, mitochondrial-like, with no coding region annotated. The record is from RefSeq and is a predicted model, not a curated record. NCBI's taxonomy places the organism in Eukaryota, Viridiplantae, Streptophyta, Magnoliopsida, Brassicales, Brassicaceae. The transcript is spliced from 5 exons.